UACAUACAUGCAUAUAUUAAUAAAAAAGGGGUUAUUUGUGCUAAUAUAUGUAUAUGUAAAUAAUUUUCACAAUAUUUAAGCAGCAUGAAGAAAACGAAUGCGCGGGAAUUUGGCAAAAUGGUGCAAAUGAUGCGGGAGCAUCCAGAUGUAGCUCGAGGACUUGGUGCUUUCGGGUCCAAUAAAAAGGAUACAGCAGAGCUGUGGAAACAGCUAUCAGUUCAAUUGAAUGCACUUGGUCCACCAGUGCGUGAUGGAAGAGGCUGGAAUAAGGUAUGGCUCGACUAUAAGUUAAAGCUGAAAAGAAAAAUAGCACUGAACAGAAGUGAGAGCAUCGCUACUGGCGGUGGACCUUAUCGCCAGCUGACAUUAUCACCUCUCGAGCAGGAGGUUGACUCUCUUCUAGGCUUAGAAAGAGCAGCGAAUCCUGAAGGCGUAAGUCAUGGUGCCAGCAACAGUAUCAGUGCUCCACUUGCUUCAGAAAACUGUAUUGAAGAGGAAAAUCUUCAAAGCGAGGUUGAAGCUACCCCUCGCAGGAGAGUGCGUUCGUCGGUAGUAAAUGCGGAUGUAAGGGAAAACGAACGAAUUGAGAUGCUGAAGCAGCAGACGCUUAAUCAGGAGAAGUUACUAAAAGUGGUAAGAGGCCUGGGUGAAAAAAUGCACGACAUUGGAAGAUAUGCGCGGAAAACUUUUGAAAUUUCGAAACAAAAAGAAGCUCGUGAGGAGAGGGAACACUUCGAACGGAUCCAGCUGCAAAAGCAAAAACUCGAGCUAAAGCUCCGGGAGCUUGAGUUGAAAGAAUUAAAGUAUAAAAAGCAUUUAUAAAAAAAUUGUACUUAAAUUAUAUCGUCACCUAAAAUACCAAAAGACGUAAAAAACAUCGUCACUGAAAUGGAAAAAGAUGUGACUAAUAAUUUUUUUGCAUAAUUCGAUGUGGGGAGUUAUAAUUCGAUGAAGUCCAUCACAUCAAUCAAAAAGUGACGAUAUGUAGCUUUUUAUGCUACUUAUCUUGUAUUCAAAUUAAAUGAAAGCUGCUGGUUGGAUUCCGUUUUUAACUUGGACUUCAACACUUUAAAAUGAAAAAGGGUACAAUAAUGCAUA
Molecule: RNA transcript, 1098 nt
Organism: Rhagoletis pomonella (apple maggot)
Lineage: Eukaryota; Metazoa; Arthropoda; Insecta; Diptera; Tephritidae
Exons: 3
Source: RefSeq, a predicted model, not a curated record